This is a long non-coding RNA of Sitophilus oryzae (rice weevil), 98 nucleotides long. RefSeq lists it as uncharacterized. The record is from RefSeq and is a predicted model, not a curated record. The transcript is spliced from 3 exons. Lineage: Eukaryota; Metazoa; Arthropoda; Insecta; Coleoptera; Curculionidae.
UUUAAUUAUUUUUCCCACAUGAUGUCCUUUCAGGUUCCAGGAAACAGCACGGGCAUGUAUUAGGCAUAAUAAGUUAAGAAAUCUGAAACUCAAAGGAA